This 65-nucleotide transfer RNA is filed under the name Choroterpes yixingensis. RNAcentral's name for it is "tRNA-Met". The record is from RNAcentral. Lineage: Eukaryota; Metazoa; Arthropoda; Insecta; Ephemeroptera; Leptophlebiidae.
AGAAUAGUAAGCUAAGUUUAAGCUAUUAGGUUCAUACCCUGCUUAUGGGCAAAGCCCCUAUUCUA